RNAcentral lists this ribosomal RNA (913 nucleotides) under uncultured bacterium. Its description in RNAcentral is "bacterial SSU rRNA". It matches the Rfam family "Bacterial small subunit ribosomal RNA", at positions 33 to 928 of the family's 1533-position model. The record is from RNAcentral.
ACGCUGGCGGCGUGCCUAAUACAUGCAAGUAGAACGCUGAAGAGAGGAGCUUGCUCUUCUUGGAAGAGUUGCGAACGGGUGAGUAACGCGUAGGUAACCUGCCUUGUAGCGGGGGAUAACUAUUGGAAACGAUAGCUAAUACCGCAUAACAAUGGAUGACACAUGUCAUUUAUUUGAAAGGGGCAAUUGCUCCACUACAAGAUGGACCUGCGUUGUAUUAGCUAGUAGGUGAGGUAACGGCUCACCUAGGCGACGAUACAUAGCCGACCUGAGAGGGUGAUCGGCCACACUGGGACUGAGACACGGCCCAGACUCCUACGGGAGGCAGCAGUAGGGAAUCUUCGGCAAUGGGGGCAACCCUGACCGAGCAACGCCGCGUGAGUGAAGAAGGUUUUCGGAUCGUAAAGCUCUGUUGUAAGUCAAGAACGAGUGUGAGAGUGGGAAGUUCACACUGUGACGGUAGCUUACCAGAAAGGGACGGCUAACUACGUGCCAGCAGCCGCGGUAAUACGUAGGUCCCGAGCGUUGUCCGGAUUUAUUGGGCGUAAAGCGAGCGCAGGCGGUUUGAUAAGUCUGAAGUUAAAGGCUGUGGCUCAACCAUAGUUCGCUUUGGAAACUGUCAAACUUGAGUGCAGAAGGGGAGAGUGGAAUUCCAUGUGUAGCGGUGAAAUGCGUAGAUAUAUGGAGGAACACCGGUGGCGAAAGCGGCUCUCUGGUCUGUAACUGACGCUGAGGCUCGAAAGCGUGGGGAGCGAACAGGAUUAGAUACCCUGGUAGUCCACGCCGUAAACGAUGAGUGCUAGGUGUUGGAUCCUUUCCGGGAUUCAGUGCCGCAGCUAACGCAUUAAGCACUCCGCCUGGGGAGUACGACCGCAAGGUUGAAACUCAAAGGAAUUGACGGGGGCCCGCACAA